This 1342-nucleotide long non-coding RNA is filed under the name Numida meleagris (helmeted guineafowl). RNAcentral's name for it is "lncRNA (ENSNMEG00000017342.1)". Lineage: Eukaryota; Metazoa; Chordata; Aves; Galliformes; Numididae. The record is from RNAcentral.
GACCCUGACACUUUUUUUUUUUUUUUUUUUUUUGUGGCCUUUUCAUUUCCUUCCAUAUUUGAAAGUCUCCUGGUCAUUUAUUUCUCCCAUUAAUAGCCAAAGUGCUCUCACCUGCUUUGGGAGAACAAUAAAAUUCUGUGGAUUGCAAUACACAGUGUUCACCAAUCAUCCUAGAGACAGAGGGCUUUUUAAUAUUUUUUAAUACCCUAUCCAUACAUAUCUGCUAAUUUACACAAUAUUAUUUUAAAUCCCAGUGAUUUGAGAGGCAUUUCAUAGAAUCAUAGAACAGCUUAGAUUGGAGAGGACCUCAAAGAUCAUCCAUUUCCAACCUCCUGCCAUGGGCUGGAUGCCCCCCACCAGCUCAGGCUGCCCAGAGCCUCAUCCAACCUGGCCUUGGGCACCUCCAGGGAUGGGGCACCCACAGCUCUCUGGGCAGCUGUGUCAGUGUCUCACCACCCCCUGAGUACAGACUUUUUUCCUAACAUCUAAUCUAGAUUUCCCCACUUCUAGUUUAUUUCCAGUUGGUUUGUUCAUUUCCAGUUUGGUGACAAAUUGAAAUCAUUUUCAAUGAGAUUUUUUCCAAAUGUUGGAGACUAGCACGCGCUUACCAUGAGCCUCAUUCUCUAUACAGUGUCUACAAGCUGGAGGAGAGCACAGUAUGAGCUCUUCUGCUUCAAUUCAGCGUACAGCCCUAAGAGCAACUCAUGGUUCCUGCAGGCCACAGAGGAGCCAAAGGGUUAUUGCCUUAGUAAUGGAUGCUGGAUUUCUCCAGUUUUGACCACACCAGUGACUAAUGCUCCAGUAUCAGGACCUCAUCACUCUUGUUCACUUUAGUACUUAAAAAUGAUUCUUAUUAUAGCAAUAAUCAAAAAAUUGAGCAGGUUCUAGAUAUUUUCUAUUGUACUUUCUCCACUUAACAGAGAGCUAGCACAUAGCUUUUCAUAUAUUUUGUUACCUAAAAAUGUAGAUGGAUGUCUCAUGGGAUUUUCAGGAGUUCCUUUCUCACUAAAAUCAAUGAGAAUUAAGUUCUUAAUGUCUUUAAUGAGUCAUACCAAAGUGACAGAUGAGAAAAAUCACAACAGACAACUGUGACAAGCAGAUUUACUCUGCCACCCAUAUGCCAAACCACUACUCCAAUCCUUGCACUUGACUUCUGCUAAGACCGUCAUCCUUCUUUCGCUUCAUUUCAUGUUGUUUAUCAAAGGCAGUUCUAAUAUCUGACCUGGUCUUUCAAUCUGCACAUAACCCAGCAGUGACGGUCUUAAUCCUGUCCAAGAUGGACUUAAUGACCUGAAAUGAUUUAAUUCAAAUAAAUGGUAAAACCUGGAAGCUGUACUAGCCA